AGAGUUUGAUCCUGGCUCAGAAUGAACGCUGGCGGCGUGCUUAACACAUGCAAGUCGAGCGAGAAAGGUCUUCGGACUUAGUAAAGCGGCAAACGGGUGAGUAAUGCAUAGGAAUCUGCCUUUUAGUGAAGAAUACCCUUGAGAAAUCAAGGUUAAUACUGCAUACGUCCCUUCGGGGAGAAAGAUGGCCUCUUGCUGUC
Molecule: ribosomal RNA, 200 nt
Filed under: uncultured bacterium
Lineage: Bacteria
Description: partial 16S ribosomal RNA
Rfam family: Bacterial small subunit ribosomal RNA
Source: RNAcentral